This 497-nucleotide ribosomal RNA is filed under the name uncultured bacterium. Its description in RNAcentral is "partial 16S ribosomal RNA". It matches the Rfam family "Bacterial small subunit ribosomal RNA", at positions 28 to 507 of the family's 1533-position model. The record is from RNAcentral.
GACGAACGCUGGCGGCGUGCCUAAUACAUGCAAGUUGAGCGCUGAAGGUUGGUACUUGUACCAACUGGAUGAGCAGCGAACGGGUGAGUAACGCGUGGGGAAUCUGCCUUUGAGCGGGGGACAACAUUUGGAAACGAAUGCUAAUACCGCAUAAAAACUUUAAACACAAGUUUUAAGUUUGAAGGAUGCAAUUGCAUCACUCAAAGAUGAUCCCGCGUUGUAUUAGCUAGUUGGUGAGGUAAAGGCUCACCAAGGCGAUGAUACAUAGCCGACCUGAGAGGGUGAUCGGCCACAUUGGGACUGAGACACGGCCCAAACUCCUACGGGAGGCAGCAGUAGGGAAUCUUCGGCAAUGGACGAAAGGCUGACCGAGCAACGCCGCGUGAGUGAAGAAGGGUUUCGGAUCGUAAAACUCGGUUGGUAGAGAAGAACGUUGGUGAGAGUGGAAAGCUCAUCAAGUGACGGUAACUACCCAGAAAGGGACGGCUAACUACGUG